AGCGAACGCUGGCGGCAGGCUUAACACAUGCAAGUCGAACGGGCAUAGCAAUAUGUCAGCGGCAGACGGGUGAGUAACGCGUGGGAACGUACCUUUUGGUUCGGAACAACACAGGGAAACUUGUGCUAAUACCGGAUAAGCCCUUACGGGGAAAGAUUUAUCGCCGAAAGAUCGGCCCGCGUCUGAUUAGCUAGUUGGUGAGGUAAUGGCUCACCAAGGCGACGAUCAGUAGCUGGUCUGAGAGGAUGAUCAGCCACAUUGGGACUGAGACACGGCCCAAACUCCUACGGGAGGCAGCAGUGGGGAAUAUUGGACAAUGGGCGCAAGCCUGAUCCAGCCAUGCCGCGUGAGUGAUGAAGGCCCUAGGGUUGUAAAAUCCUUUCACCGGUGAAGAUAAUGACUGUAGCCGGAGAAGAAGCCCCGGCUAACUUCGUGCCAGCAGCCGCAGUAA
Molecule: ribosomal RNA, 451 nt
Filed under: uncultured bacterium
Lineage: Bacteria
Description: partial 16S ribosomal RNA
Rfam family: Bacterial small subunit ribosomal RNA
Source: RNAcentral